GCCUCAGUAGCUCAGUUGGUAGAGCAGCCGCCUUGUAAGCGGCAGGUCGCGGGUUCGACUCCUGUCUGGGGCUCCA
This 76-nucleotide transfer RNA is filed under the name Propionibacteriales bacterium. Its description in RNAcentral is "tRNA-Thr". It matches the Rfam family "tRNA". Rfam says of the family: Transfer RNA (tRNA) molecules are approximately 80 nucleotides in length. Their secondary structure includes four short double-helical elements and three loops (D, anti-codon, and T loops). Lineage: Bacteria; Bacillati; Actinomycetota; Actinomycetes; Propionibacteriales. RNAcentral also lists the same sequence under 1 other name. The record is from RNAcentral.